AUGGAGUUACAAAGGAAUAUGGUAGGUGAAGAGGUCUGGAAAGGCCCGCGAUAGAGGUAAAAGCCCUGUAACCUAAACUGUGUUCUCUCCGAGACGGAUCCCGAGUAGUGCGGGGCACGUGAAACCCCGUAUGAAUCCAGCAGGACCAUCUGCUAAGGCUAAAUACUACCUGGCGACCGAUAGUGAAACAGUACCGUGAGGGAAAGGUGAAAAGCACCCCGGAAGGGGAGUGAAAUAGAACCUGAAACCGUGUGCUUACAAAAAGUCAGAGCCCUAUUAAUGGGUGAUGGCGUGCCUUUUGUAGAAUGAACCGGCGAGUUACGUUUAACAUGCAAGGUUAAGCCGAGAAGGUGGAGCCGCAGCGAAAGCGAGUCUGAAUAGGGCGAAUUAGUAUGUGGACGUAGACCCGAAACCGUGUGAUCUACCCCUGUCCAGGGUGAAGGUGCGGUAACACGCACUGGAGGCCCGAACCCACGUACGUUGAAAAGUGCGGGGAUGAGGUGGGGGUAGCGGAGAAAUUCCAAUCGAACUCGGAGAUAGCUGGUUCUCCCCGAAAUAGCUUUAGGGCUAGCCUCGGUAUAAGAGUAGUGGAGGUAGAGCACUGAUUGGGUGCGGGGUCCGCAAGGAUUACCAAGCUCAGUCAAACUCCGAAUGCCAUAUACUUAUUGCCGGGAGUCAGACAGUGAGUGCUAAGAUCCAUUGUCAAAAGGGAAACAGCCCAGACCAUCAGCUAAGGUCCCCAAGUGUGUGUUAAGUGGGAAAGGAUGUGGAGUUGCACAGACAACCAGGAUGUUGGCUUAGAAGCAGCCACCAUUGAAAGAGUGCGUAAUAGCUCACUGGUCGAGUGACUCUGCGCCGAAAAUGUAACGGGGCUAAACACACCACCGAAGCUAUGGCUAGAUACGUAUGUAUCUGGGGUAGGGGAGCGUUGUGUAGGGGUUGAAGGUGUACUGAAAAGAGCGCUGGACACUACACAAGUGAGAAUGCCGGUAUGAGUAACGAAAAGAUCAGUGAGAAUCUGAUCCGCCGAAAGCCCAAGGUUUCCUGAGGAAGGCUCGUCCGCUCAGGGUAAGUCGGGACCUAAGGCGAGGCCGAAAGGCGUAGUCGAAGGACAACAGUUUGAAAUUACUGUACCACCGUAAUCCGCUAUGAGCGAUGGGGUGACGCAGGAGGGUAGUGACGCGGACUGAUGGAUGUCCGUCUAAGCAGUGAGGCUGAUGUGUAGGCAAAUCCGCACAUCGUUAAGGCUGGGCUGUGAUGGGGAGCGAAAAUUGUAGUAGCGAAGGUCAU
RNAcentral lists this ribosomal RNA (1290 nucleotides) under Paenibacillus odorifer. RNAcentral's name for it is "bacterial LSU rRNA". It matches the Rfam family "Bacterial large subunit ribosomal RNA", at positions 310 to 1595 of the family's 2925-position model. The record is from RNAcentral. Lineage: Bacteria; Bacillati; Bacillota; Bacilli; Caryophanales; Paenibacillaceae.